AACGAACGCUGGCGGCAGGCUUAACACAUGCAAGUCGAACGCCCCGCAAGGGGAUUGGCAGGCGGGUGAGUAACGCGUGGGAACAUACCCUUUUCUACGGAAUAGCUCUGGGAAACUGGAAUUAAUACCGUAUACGCCCUACGGGGGAAAGAUUUAUCGGGGAAGGAUUGGCCCGCGUUGGAUUAGCUAGUUGGUGGGGUAAAGGCCUACCAAGGCGACGAUCCAUAGCUGGUCUGAGAGGAUGAUCAGCCACAUUGGGACUGAGACACGGCGCAAACUCCUACGGGAGGCAGCAGUGGGGAAUAUUGGAAAAUGGGCGCAAGCCUGAUCCAGCCAUGCCGCGUGAGUGAUGAAGGUCUUAGGGUUGUAAAGCUCUUUCACCGAUGAAGAUAAUGACGGUAGUCGGAGAAGAAGCCCCGGCUAACUUCGUG
This 431-nucleotide ribosomal RNA is filed under the name uncultured bacterium. RNAcentral describes it as "partial 16S ribosomal RNA". It matches the Rfam family "Bacterial small subunit ribosomal RNA", at positions 29 to 507 of the family's 1533-position model. The record is from RNAcentral.